RNAcentral lists this ribosomal RNA (113 nucleotides) under Salvator merianae (Argentine black and white tegu). Lineage: Eukaryota; Metazoa; Chordata; Lepidosauria; Squamata; Teiidae. The record is from RNAcentral.
AUCAGCAUUGAAACGGCACUUCACCAAUUUUGUCCAGUCUCAGAAGCUAGGCAGAGUUUGGCCUGUUAGUGCUUGGUUGGGUAAUCACCUGGGAGUACCAGGUACUGUAGUUA